This 253-nucleotide ribosomal RNA is filed under the name uncultured bacterium. RNAcentral's name for it is "partial 16S ribosomal RNA". It matches the Rfam family "Bacterial small subunit ribosomal RNA", at positions 524 to 776 of the family's 1533-position model. The record is from RNAcentral.
UACGUAGGAUGCAAGCGUUAUCCGGAUUCACUGGGUUUAAAGGGUGCGUAGGUGGAUUUGUAAGUCAAAGGUGAAAGCCUGCAGCCUAACUGCAGAAGUGCCUUUGAUACUGCAAGUCUUGAGUACAGUUGAGGUAGGCGGAAUGUGUAAUGUAGCGGUGAAAUGCUUAGAUAUUACACAGAACACCGAUUGCGAAGGCAGCUUACUAAACUGUUACUGACACUGAGGCACGAAAGCGUGGGGAUCAAACAGG